Molecule: ribosomal RNA, 289 nt
Filed under: uncultured bacterium
Lineage: Bacteria
Description: partial 16S ribosomal RNA
Rfam family: Bacterial small subunit ribosomal RNA
Source: RNAcentral
AUGCAAGUCGAGGGGCAGCGCGGGGCGGCAACGUCCUGGCGGCGACCGGCGGAAGGGUGCGUAACGCGUGAGCGACAUGCCCGUUGCCUGGGGACAACCGGUGGAAACGCCGACUAAUCCCCGAUGGGAUACGAUGCUUCAUGGCAUUGUAUUGAAAGUUACGGCGGCGACGGAUUGGCUCGCGUCCGAUUAGCUGGUUGGCGGGGUAACGGCCCACCAAGGCUACGAUCGGUAGGGGUUCUGAGAGGAAGGCCCCCCACCAAUGGGACUGAGACACGGCCCAUACUCC